Molecule: RNA transcript, 2131 nt
Organism: Uranotaenia lowii
Lineage: Eukaryota; Metazoa; Arthropoda; Insecta; Diptera; Culicidae
Exons: 4
Source: RefSeq, a predicted model, not a curated record
UUUUUCCAAUGCCCUCUUGUUGAAGUUUCUUUUCUAUUAAAGUUGAAAUCCGUUUUAAUCCGAUUGCUGCUUCCUUUUAGUGGAAAAAUUCUCUUCAAACUUUGUAGAAUAAUCCGGAAGUGGUGUAACUUUAACUUACCGGAUGAAAAUUGAAACCAAGUUCCCAAAUCAGGGUAGAGAAUAAGGCGGAGAUGAAGGUAAUAAUUCCAUUGAUGAUGGCGCAGUAAUUGCACGGUACUUCAUCGUUUUUAUUUUGCGCUGUAAUAAUCAACUUAGCUGGUUCUGGUCCAGUCGGAAUAAUUUCCAAAACUAGCUCAUCCAGAUCCUUUAAAAAUAUGCUAUUACUCGCGUCAUAAUCAACCCAUAAUCAACAACAUCCGAAUCAACCCUUUUUCCAACAGCAACAGUACUAUCUACUGUUCCAUCGGAAUGUCAUCACAUGCCCCAGCCAUGCAUAAUGAUGUUUUUUUUUUUUUUUUUACAAUUCAUUUAUUUGAAACGGCUCGUACCGUAGGUUUCAAAGAGCCAAUGUCUGGUUUGUGUAAUUACAUUUUAAAGUAUCCACAGAUUUAGAUAAAGUGAAAAAGAAAGUAGUAGUUAUAAACGGAGAUCAAUAGUUUUUAGAAAGAGGUAGAUUUCGAGCAUGUAAUCAAUGUCUAUCGCAGCUAAUACCAUAAUGAUGUUAUAAAUCAAAACUAACUUAAAUCCAAAUAUCUCAGAAACGCGUGGAUAUUUUUGGGUAAUAUCUUCACAAAAAAAUUCUACAGAUUGAAAUAAGUUGACUCAUAGUUUUUUUUUUUUUCAUUGGUGAUGAUGGUUGUGACAAAAAAAAUUAUCUUUGGCCUUUCCACCAAAACGCUGCCCUAAAAUUUUAUAUGCUAUCAGCAACACCGAAGCAUCAAGGCAGGCCGUAUUGGUUGGUUUUAGCCUUCCCAUAGCGAACAUAUAAACGAAUAAAUAAUAAAAUCUCGGCAUUUAUAAACAUAGCGGUUCCUCGGAUUAAAUGGGUGGCACAGCACUAACAGCAACACCAGCAGCAGCUACAGGGAAUUGUACAGCCUAUUAGUCAGUUCACCGGACAAUCCUUCCAAUCCUGAUACGGCGGCUACAUUCCGAUUUCUCCGAUAAUAAGUUGUUGCAGCUUAUACAUGGCCAGUUCAAGUGCCCGUUCAAGGGAUCCUAGCUUGACGAAAGACAUCGUCGACGGUAAGGUUUCCAUGACGCCUCGGCUGAUAACACAGAAAACCCAAGCCAUCGCACGCAGGUUCCAGUAGUCAACGGCACCAACACAUUCGGAGGACGGCGCGAGUGUAAUGAACGCAGACCAGGCAUGGGAAUGUCGAUUCAGAAUCCAUUGUAAGCCCAGCAGUUGGUACAUCAGCAAAUACAAAUGCACGUCUAAGCACAACAGAUGCAGCAGCAAAUGCAAUCGUUGCCACUGGAAGUCAAUUCGGCUGGUAGUCGGCAGAAAAUUCGCAGUUCGAUGCUCCCUUGCUGCGAAGUCAUCUCAACUGCAAACAUUCCGGGUUCACACUUGAAACGACGCUGUUUGAACACCGAGGGUGAAAGAUAUGUGACCAAAUACCUAUCCGAAGAUUGAUGAUAGAUACUAUAGACUGACGGUUAAAUGAUCACAUGGUUUAUAGACGUGACUAGAACCGGAUCAUGCCUUUUUUGAACCGAAUACACGUCACGCCUUCGCCGAGGACCAGGUGGUUUUCGAGGCUGUACAGACUGUGCUGAAAUCGGGCAAGGUUCGCACCGAGAAUCUGAGCGGCCAAUCGACCACCAACGACUUCACCCAGGCUAAAGACUCGUUUCCGGAAUAUUUUUUUUUCUUCGUUCGUCAACCGAAUGCAACGUUGAAAUUUAAAAUGUAUUCGAUCUGUAUUGCGAGUAGCAUGCUACUAAUUUUAACUAAUAACUAAUUUUAAGUCGUUCAAAUUAGAAAAUUUACCUGAUUAGUCGUUCAAAUUUGAUUUUUUUCCAAAUAAGAAAUUUAAGAAAAAUAAAAUUCUUAUUAAGUUGGCCAAUAAAAAGCAGUAAUUGAUAUUAUUAUGUCAUGGUCAAUUUAUUUCAACUUCAAAUACAAAUAAACGUAUUUAGAAUAUUAAAUUGUUAAAGUAUUUGA